CCAUGUGUGCUAGCGAAAUGUCUUUAGUGUAAUCUCGGAGUGUAAUUUUUAUUUCAACUUUUACGUUUGCUUCAGCACAACCUAAAACACGAAAACUUUCAUUUUCUUGUAAGAAUGAGAUUCGUUACUUCAAACAAAAAUCGCUUUUAUCUUUUUUUUUUUUUUUUUUUUUUUGCAGUAAAAGACCGGUUUCUUAAAAAAAACUUUCAUACAAUCGACUAAACGAAGUAUAAGCUUCGGGAAGGUCAAGGAUUAUA
RNAcentral lists this long non-coding RNA (257 nucleotides) under Mytilus galloprovincialis (Mediterranean mussel). Lineage: Eukaryota; Metazoa; Mollusca; Bivalvia; Mytilida; Mytilidae. The record is from RNAcentral.